GCUGGGCAUGGUGGCUCAUGCCUGUAAUCCCAGCAUUUUAGGAGGCCGAGGUGGGCAGAUCACUUUAGGUCAGGAGUUCAAGACUCAGGAGUUUGAGACUAGCCUGGCCAACAAAGUGAAACCCCAUCUCUA
This is a non-coding RNA of Homo sapiens (human), 132 nucleotides long. It matches the Rfam family "Metazoan signal recognition particle RNA". From Rfam's summary of the family: The signal recognition particle (SRP) is a universally conserved ribonucleoprotein. It is involved in the co-translational targeting of proteins to membranes. NCBI's taxonomy places the organism in Eukaryota, Metazoa, Chordata, Mammalia, Primates, Hominidae. The record is from Rfam.